GAAAGCCCACAGGACAGCUCCCGGCUGCACUGCAAGCCUCUGUCCCACCAUCCCCAGCUCACAGCAAAGCUGACACCUGAAGCAGAAGCUGCUCCCCAAAAGCAGCACCCCAAAAGAUGCUGGGGCAGGCGCCAUGGGCAAGGCUGUCUCCUUCUGGCCCUGCCGUCCUGCUGCUGGCCCUCUGCAAUGUGGUGAGUUCCCCAGCAAGUCCACCACCCCCAGGUGAGUGAUUCCCUCCUGCACCUCCUGUACCCCCAGGCAGCAGCCCCUCACACAAGGCCCAUCUCCCUUCCAGAGGUG
RNAcentral lists this long non-coding RNA (300 nucleotides) under Anas platyrhynchos (mallard). RNAcentral's name for it is "lncRNA (ENSAPLG00020012842.1)". The record is from RNAcentral. Lineage: Eukaryota; Metazoa; Chordata; Aves; Anseriformes; Anatidae.